UGACAUGAUCUGUCCAUAUUGAUUCUCAGACUUGCAGUGGUAGAUCCCUCUGUCCUCAGAGCUGAUGGAGGUGAAAUGAUGAAUACCUUCUGGUCCUUGAAACAGUGUUUGGUUCUCCUUGUACCAGGUAUAAUUAGCUGCUGGGUUAGCAUCACUGCUACAGGUCAGAUUCACUGAACUGCCCUCCACUAUCUCACCAGAGGGACUCACUGACACAGAGGGAACCCUUGGACCAU
Molecule: long non-coding RNA, 236 nt
Organism: Dicentrarchus labrax (European seabass)
Lineage: Eukaryota; Metazoa; Chordata; Actinopteri; Moronidae
Exons: 3
Source: RefSeq, a predicted model, not a curated record